This is an RNA transcript of Oncorhynchus kisutch (coho salmon), 1866 nucleotides long. It is a transcript of the gene named peptidylprolyl isomerase Fa, with no coding region annotated. The record is from RefSeq and is a predicted model, not a curated record. The transcript is spliced from 6 exons. NCBI's taxonomy places the organism in Eukaryota, Metazoa, Chordata, Actinopteri, Salmoniformes, Salmonidae.
GGGGUCUUAGAGACGUCAUGUGUACACACCCCCUAUCCUCAGAACUUCAUGUUGACAACUAUGCAAAGAUGUUGCAAAUGAAAAAUCGUAUAAAAUAUUGCUCUUUGGCAAUUGCUGCGACCAGGUUGUUUUCGUCUGGACCCGUCAAGAACCCAGUCGUGUAUUUUGACAUCGCAGCUGACAACGAACCUCUGGGACGAAUCAUUAUAGAGUUGAAUGCAGCUGCUGUGCCCAAAACAGCAGAGAACUUUAGAGCACUGUGCACUGGGGAACAUGGCUUUGGAUACAAAGGAUCAGUGUUCCACAGAGUGAUUCCUGAGUUCAUGUGUCAGAAUGCUUUUGUGACACAAGCGAUGGCGCACAGGACUACGGGCCAAAAGGUUGAGGGUUUGCCGACCACUCCCAGACAAGCUCACUCUCCCUGCCUGUUCCAUUACACUGGUGUCAGACGUGAUCGGACGCCACAGAUGUGCUAGGCCGGUGAUCGCGUUCCAGUAAGGUGUCGUCCUUUUAAGGCUAGCCCGGGGACAUGCUCUUUGAAAGGAGGGAGUAAGUGUAGUGACCCAGGGCUUUUGGCCAGAGAGUUGAGGGUUUACCGACCACUGCGGACAAGCUCACUCUCCCUGCCUGUUUCAUUACACUACUAUACAUGGACAGCCCUUAUGAAGGUUGUAUUUAUUUACAAUGUUGUGUGGUGGUGUUGUCUUAAAGUAAGAGCACUAACUCACUCUCUGCCCUCAGGGAGGAGAUUUCACGCAUCACAACGGGACUGGAGGGAAGUCCAUAUACGGGACCAAGUUUAAAGACGAGAACUUCAAACUGAAACACAACGGGCCAGGUAUCUUAUCCAUGGCAAAUUCAGGGGCGAACACAAACGGUUCUCAGUUCUUCAUCUGCACAGUUAAAACUGAAUGGUUGAAUGAUAAGCAUGUGGUCUUUGGUCAGGUGAAGGAGGGCAUGGAGGUAGUCUUCAAGAUGGAAUCCUUUGGUUGUCAUGACGGUGGUGUGGUAAAGAAAAUCGCCAUCACGGACUGUGGGGAGAUCAAGUAAAACACACAGACAGACAGGUUGGAGAAGGUCACUGUGGACAAUGACUCUUGGAAACGUCCAAUUUUGUAAAAGUUGUUUAACUCUUCUGUUUUCCUCACCCAAUUUAAAAAAUGACAACCACAAAUACACCAGCUGUCUCUCAUACAUGUAGUCUCUUGUCAGCUGUCUGUCAUACAUGUAGUCUCUUGUCAGCUGUCUCUCAUACAUGUAGUCUCUUGUCAGCUGUCUCUCAUACAUGUAGUCUCUUGUCAGCUGUCUCUCAUACAUGUAGUCUAUUGUCAGCUGUCUGUCAUACAUGUAGUCUCCUUUCAGCUGUCUCUCAUACAUGUAGUCUCUUGUCAGCUGUCUCUCAUACAUGUAGUCUCUUGUCAGCUGUCCCUCAUACAUGUAGUCUCUUGUCAGCUGUCCCUCAUACAUGUAGUCUCUUGUCAUCUGUCCGUCAUACAUGUAGUCUUUUGUCAGCUGUCCCUCAUACAUCUAAUCUCAUUGUCUUUGGACAAUGUGUUCUCCCUUCACACACACACUUACUCUAUAGCAUUUAUACUGUCUGUACUCAUGACAACUUCUCAUGUUCAUAGCCUGUGCUUUAUACAUUCAAGAGUUGUCGUAUGGAGAGGUUUGGACUUUGGAGUAUUUCAACACUGGUACUAAGAUACCUCUGAAAUGGGUGCUUUUUAUUCUAGAUGUCACUAAUAUUUUUCUAAAGAAAAUCAUCUAUAAACUAUUUAAGGCAUGUAUGAUGGACCCGACACCUAUGGAAUGUAUAAAAUAAUGUUGUACAUUUACUGCCAAAUAAAUCUAUGUUUUUAGGUUUUA